GUACUUUCGUUUGUUAUGAAUUUACAUUCGUUAUCCUUAAAUGACAAGUGUGUGAAAGGAGCAAGGAACAAGUCCCGAGCUGAUUUCAAGUGCACAAAGUGUGUGUGAUUAAAUGAAACGAGCCUCUUGCGAGCACUCUUGUGUAUUCAUUAAUGAUCCUUCCGCAGGUUCACCUACGAAAA
RNAcentral lists this unclassified non-coding RNA (182 nucleotides) under uncultured fungus. RNAcentral describes it as "sequence contains ITS1". Lineage: Eukaryota; Fungi. The record is from RNAcentral.